This 499-nucleotide ribosomal RNA is filed under the name uncultured Pseudomonadota bacterium. RNAcentral's name for it is "bacterial SSU rRNA". It matches the Rfam family "Bacterial small subunit ribosomal RNA", at positions 355 to 844 of the family's 1533-position model. The record is from RNAcentral. Lineage: Bacteria; Pseudomonadati; Pseudomonadota.
UCGGGAAUCUUGGGCAAUGGGCGCAAGCCUGACCCAGCGACGCCGCGUGAGGGAUGAAGGCCUUCGGGUCGUAAACCUCUGUCAGGAGGGAAGAAUGGCGGUGAGGUGAACAAUCUCGCUGUCUGACGGUACCUCCGAAGGAAGCGCCGGCUAACUCCGUGCCAGCAGCCGCGGUAAUACGGAGGGCGCAAGCGUUGUUCGGAAUCACUGGGCGUAAAGCGCGUGUAGGCGGCUUGGCAAGUCGGGUGUGAAAUCCCGAGGCUCAACCUCGGAACUGCACUCGAAACUGCCUGGCUCGAGUCCCGGAGAGGGUGGCGGAAUUCCCGGUGUAGGGGUGAAAUCCGUAGAUAUCGGGAGGAACACCAGUGGCGAAGGCGGCCACCUGGACGGUGACUGACGCUGAGACGCGAAAGCGUGGGGAGCAAACAGGAUUAGAUACCCUGGUAGUCCACGCCGUAAACGGUGAGUGCUAGACGUCGCGGGUAUUGACCCCCGCGGU